Molecule: long non-coding RNA, 7563 nt
Organism: Hemicordylus capensis (graceful crag lizard)
Lineage: Eukaryota; Metazoa; Chordata; Lepidosauria; Squamata; Cordylidae
Exons: 13
Source: RefSeq, a predicted model, not a curated record
UGUAGUAGUCCCCAAACAACUGGAGAGCCUCAGGUUGGCCGCUCCUGCUCCAGAUUAGUGGACGGGAGCAACAACAAGAUUAAUUAACAAGCAUUUGGUGCUUCUUGGUGUGUUUGGUGACUGCAUAUAGUGGAAGAGUAGAAAUAGUCCGAUUCUGAACAUGACAGGCUAGUUAAAUCCGCAAGCCAGUUAUUCGUUUUUUUAAAAACCCAAGGACCAGGAAAAUGCAUAUUUGGAUGCAUAUUAAAGGCCACUUAGAAAGCAAUCCUAUGCAUGUCUACUCUGAAGCAAAUCCAACUGUGUUCUGUGGGGCUUACAUCUGUGGGAGCACAUCAGAUUGCGUGGUGAAGAUGGAUUCGUGAUCUUAAUCACCCCCCCCCUCCCCGGUGGUGUAGAAGAGAGAGAUGUUCACUAUUUGCAGCGGGGCUCCUAAUCUCACCAGCGUUAGCGACUGCUGCAGAUUGCCAGAAUCCGCCGCUUCCCACCUUUCCCCGGGACUUCCAGCAGUAAUAGACAGUAAUAGCCUAAGACAAAUCAGCCAGUUUUGUGUAAAAAUAGAUGCGCCGAGCUCUUAAACUCGCAGGAACAAGUUGGUUGCCUGGGCUAGGUGCUCAGAAAGUAACAGGGCGCCGCAACUCCUGCAAAGACGGCCCAGACAAGAGAAGCAGCGGCACUCGACGUGACAUCGACGAGGAAGCUUUCAGCUCUGUGGGAUCCGUCUCAACCAGUUAGUUGGCCGAUAACUGCUUUUGUCUGGCAAAACUCUGGUUUCCCCAAAGCAUCUUCUCGAUUCAGAUGGGAUGCCCGAAGAUCGUGACUUCACCCAAGCCACUGUGGGAGACUGCUUUGCCAAUUUCCUGUUCACACUGACUAUCUGCAGGGGACCCAAGAAAAUGGCUAACAGGAAGUCACCUGCAUCCUCUUCUUUGUUUCCCUGGAACCAAUGUGCAAUUUUAAUACAGGCAACGAAGGGAGCGACUUGAAUGAAGUUUCAUGUUCGUCAUAACAACCACAAUAAUUAAAAAUUGAUGCCGCAACACACAUUGGAAUGUGGAAGACAAACAGGGGUCAGAAUCAGGUGACCCAAGGGCAGAAUAUCUCACUUCCAGUGGAUGCCAACCAAACGAUAAUACUGGGGUGACGUUGGAUAAAGCGGUAAACAAAGAAUGGGUGGAGCAGUGAUGAACCCUGCCUUGGAGUAAGCCCUAGGUGCCUAGGAUUGGCUUCAUGACAAGAAAUCAGAAACACUGGUGCGAAAGCUGGGCAAUGAGUGAUUAUUAAAUCUGCUCCACUGCAAUCUUGGGUAGAUUCAUCCAACUCACCAUUUUAUAUUCAAGUUUGCAGAAAAUGUAAGCUUUCUGACUUUGAAGAAGUACUAUUAUGGACAUGUGAUAGGGAUCCAAGUCAGAACAGAAAAGGUGAUUCAUAUUGGAUUAUUUUCAUUCAAGUCUGCUCGCCUGUCAAGGAGAUGUGGAAAUGUGCUGGCAUUCCAGCUGAAGACAUCAUUAUGAGUGAGAAAAUGCUCAAGGCCUUUUUUCAAAGUGGGUGCUGAAAGAGAUGCUUCCCUUCUUUGACUCCAGGGGAUGCUGAUAGCUACCCCAGCAGACAGGUUUAUGGGGUUUGUCAAAACCCAUCAUCUGAGCAGACUAGAUUGAAUUACUUCGACCAGAGAUGAGUUGAAGGCACUUGCAUCGGGGAAUAAAUGCCUCAUGGUUGCUUUCCAAUAGGAGGAUGUCGAGACUUGUGGAAACUCUAACUCUGGCUGUUUUCCUGGAAGCAGGAAGAAGAACACCCUUCAGAGAAAAACAGGAACAUUUGCAGAGGUCAGACAAAGUCUCCUCCUACACGAAAGAAAUCAAUGUUCUGUAUUAAGUCCAGAAAAUGUUUUUGAAAGGCCAGGACAACCCUUGAGUUAUUCUGGACCACAUUAUGGGUCCAUCUUGAGAGCAGAUUGGAAGAGCUUCAGACAGUCCCUGCUGUUCAGAAGCACAGGGGGCUUCAGUUAAUCUUGGUCUCUGUUGAUCCACAUAGCUGAUGGGUCAGAGUGUAUGUACAGACCACAUGGCAGGCUUCCCACACACUCUGCAGGAAGUAUCUGCCUUUUCUUGGGAUGCUUCCAGUCAUCUCAACAUUAUGUUACAGUGCCAAGCAGGAAAGCGGGAAGUCACAUUUAGAAAAGCUGUCAAAUUGUUAUGAAUGACAUUCCUACCCCACCCAUCCUGUAAUGAGUUCAAGGUGGUGUACAUGGUUUAUCUCACAACAAUCCUGUGUGGUAGGUUAGGCUGAAAGCCAAUGACUGCUUGGUGGGGGUGUUAGGGGUUCCAGAAAUGGGAUGACAGUACCUGUAAACUUCCUUGGCAUACCUGCAGAGCACUCAGCCUGGCCUGAUGUGUGUUUUAGAGAGUUCGGCAAGGAAACAGUGUCCAUCACUGAAACUAAGAGCAGCUUAGGGAACCAGUUAGGGAGGAAGCACAAGUGUGACAUCCUACCCCACAGGGGUCCAGGCAAAGGCUCUCCAAUACUCCAAGAAAGGCUUCCUGCAUAGAGACUCUAAAGUGCUCUUGAGACUUCGAAACCAAGGCAGCCAUGGCUCUUCCCCCAUCCCUGCACACACUUGUAUUCUUGACCUGGGUGUUAAAACCACCCAGUCACCCUUCCAGGAUUCUUCAAAGUUUUAAAGCCAAUAAGCCAAAAGUCCUAAAAUCCACACUUUACUUCCAAGACAAUCCCCUCUGCCUGUCUGGGUCGUUUGAAACUCAUUGUUCUGUUGUUUCCUAUAGAAGAUUAUUCCCAUUAACUUUUAAUCUGAAGGGACACUGAUUUAAUUUCUUUUUACCCUAUAAAACCGGGCAGUUGAAAGCCCCAAAUUGCACAGUCUUUGGGAUCCAUUCUGUUGCCCUCUGCUUUUUCAUCAUCACCACAAUCCAUUUCUCCACUGAAACCCAACUUCUCUUCCCCUUACACCAGACAGAUAAAUAUAGGGAGAGCUCCUUCUUCCUUGCUCCUGAUAUCUUUUUUCCUCCUCGAUUCCCGCUUCCCUUCCCUGUCCAUGUGUGUGAGUGAUUGUAGGUUUCAUGGUGCUAGUCUAGAUUGUUUUUCAUUUAGAUCUGUUUUCCAACAGUAAAAGUUAAUUCCUCCCUGAUUAAAAAGGUUAGCCUCUAUAGGGACACCAAUCCUGUAGAAUCCACUCAACGGACCUAAAGCUUAUUUCAGAUAGUUUAGUAUAUUACUAGUUUAUAUUUCAGAUAAAAGUUGUGCUCAACACAUAACAUGCUCAUUUCAGAUUAGUACUCUCUAGAGUGCCAUCCCCUUAAAGUUUAGGGCAAAAGCCCAAUGAAGAUAGCAUCUAGUUGAUUUUUCCAGCCAAGGGUAUCCGCAGGGUGUCCUUUCUGGUAAAGGUGACCAUAGCCACAUGUCUUUUCCUUUCCCCAUUAGUUUGAACUCCCAAAGCAUCAGAACAGUCUUCCAUUCCCCAUCUGUGAUCCCUGACAUGCCCCGGGAACCAUUACCACCUCAACCCUCAGAUCUACCCUUGCACUGAAGAGCUGUGAGGCUCUUCCUGUUUAGCCAAAGAAGCCAUUUCCCAUCUAGUCAAUUUCCUUCAUUUGGUCUCCCUUUCACUUUUAACUCUACUCCCUCCCUCAUUCUCUUUCUCCUCCUCCCACCCCAUGCCUUGACAAAUCUCUGGCCUGGCCUGUGAUUCCUUUCUUUACCCAAACACAUUGGGGUUCUUGUCCCUCUCUCUCUAGGUCUCCUGCCUGUUCUUCAACUGGCUCUGCCCUUCCUCCAUCCCUGAACUCUCUCUGCUUCCCCUUCUUGCUUCGCCCAGUCUUCUGCUGGUUCUCUGGAUCAGCUCCCCCUUUUUUCAUUAUCUGAACCUGUUCAGGUACCUGUCUUGGUCUCCUGCUGGUCCUCCUGAAUGGCCUCUUCUUCUCUCCCCAGCCAAACCUUUUUGGAUCUCUCUUCUCUCUACUUCUCACCUUGGUUGUGUCUGGUACUGACCCUUUCUGCUUACUUUCCCCAGCCCCUGCCGGAUCCUUUCUACUGAAUCCUCUCUCUCCACCCUCUGAGCAAACCUCCCAUUAGUGUUCCCCAAUUCCCCUCACUAGUAAGUAAACACUCAUUUAGUAACUAUAUAACAAUGGUAAAAUAACAAGCCCAGACAAAUGAACAUCUUAAGAGUCUGUGUAAUGUGGAAAUACCAGCAUAUCAUACCACAGCCCAACCUCCACUUUGUAUUCAAUAUAUUUUUAUUUGGACUUUUAAACCUGUGGUAGUGACUUGCCUGGGAAACUGCUUGUUUUAUGACCUCACAAUGUCUUGCAAGGGGAUAAAAAGUGCCUCUCAUAAUAGGGGAAAGCCAAUUAGUGGAGAUUUGACCCUGGGCCUCCUUUGUGUAAAUUCAACACUCCAACCACUGCACCACACCACACACAUAAUGGUAGUGAUGUCCUUUAAGAUGCCAAACUCUGUACAAAGUUCUGAGUGCCACUGAUAAAAUGAUCAGCAAUUAUAUGAUUGAUACAAUUCAUCUUUAUAUUAUUGGUUAAUUUACAAAUUGAAUAACUGAAUGACAUAAGCAAAAGCUUUUCUAAUCACCAAGAGAUAUUUCUUAUGCCUCCAAAUUGACAAAACAUUGCAAGAUUCAAGCAAAAUAAUGCAGAGAAAUAGACCUAUUGCACCCGAAUGAUGUCUGAUGUACUCUGUGAUGAGAAAACAGAGCCAUAAAGUUAUCCACAGUUUGCAGUUUAUGAUUUGGUGAUCUACUUUUAAUGCCAUUGAUGAUUGUGUCACUUUAAAUAUAGGCAUAUUAAAAUGCAUAUAUGUAAAGAAUAUUUGUGAUCUUCAGCUGAAAAUAAUGAUAAAGAAUUCUUUAUCUCCAUCUUCUACUUACUGUAUGAAUAAAUAACUUGUACAUCGCUUUAAAUUGAUCUUCUACCUUAACUGAAACUGUUCCUGCAAAGAACAGAAGGUGACAACAGAAUGAAGUGAAGUGAUGUGUGAUGUCAUCUCACAACUGUAGAUGACAUCACAAUUGUGGCGUAGUUUCAGAUAAAGAGAAAUCAAACAAUUCACCACACAUUUAAAGGUUUGGCACAAGAAGGAAGGAGCUGGCACACCUGCAUGGAUUUGUAUGGUGGGAAAUAUGUUGAAUUCCCUGAAUUCUGGAAUAGAUUCCCCACUGCAGGACAAAUUUUAAAUUGUCAUUAAAGAUUUAGUUGAUUAAUUGUACUGAUUAAUUGAUUAGAGCUUCGAGCCUGAAUGGAAAUGCUUCAGUAGUGCAGCUAUGCAGGUCAUAUGGAUCGAAAAGGCGUUUUAAAAUAAAGCAGGGGAGGGGGAAACAGGGAAAAGCAGAGGAGAAAUGCAAUUUCCUUUUUCCUACCCGCUAAACUCAUCAUAACUUGAAGUCAACCAAGCCAACAUUUUACACCCGCUGCCACUUUGACAUGACAGGCAUGGUAUUUUCAUACCUACAGAAUUGCUGAGGAAAUUCUUCCUACAAAAGUUUGUCAUGAGGAGGAUUGCAGAGAGUAACUGAUGUGUAGGCAAAGCUCAGAAUGAACAUGCUUGAAACAAAGUCCCCAAAGCGAUGGUGACAGUGGGCCGUCCCCCCACCCCCCACCAACCAGACUGAUACUUCAAAAACUCGAUUGAGAGGGUUUGUCCUCUGCUACUGAUGACCAAGAUUUGAUCCAUAAAGGAUGGCAGCUUUGUGAGCAAUGGGAAAGGAAAUUUCUUACUUUAACUCUAGCCAUUGAAUCUGAAGAGUAAUUGCCACCCUGGAAAGGAAUCAUGAGAAAUGUUUUUGAAGCUUCAAAGGGACUGCACUGUUCUCUUACCCCAUGGGAAUAUUAAUUACUCCCAAACUUUUAUAAUUCGUUGAACAAUACCAUAUGUGUUAGUCAAAGAAAUUACAGGCAAAGCAGUGCUAAAGGGGGCUUGACUUGAAUUGCCCUGAAAUUGGACCAAGCAGUUUGACAGACUAUUGGAUAGCACUUUGAAGCAUCCCACUGUGCCUGGAGUGGAACACAAAAAAUGAAUUUGAGUUACCCGAGAGUUUCUCACUCUUAACUCUUAGUAUUCUAUUUUCAGCAUUUGGAAAAAGGAGUUUUGAAAUCACUGCCACACAGACUUGGUGACUGUGUGCAUUUACAAAAAAUGGCAAAGAAUAUUUCAAAAUAUUGUAAGGAUCAGGAUGACACAAAGCCAAAGAAUACUUCUGGAUUCUAAUAUUGAACUGAGCAUUGUUUGAGACUGAAGCGAUUCAUCGUGGGUUAUUCUCUGCUACAGUGUCCAGCAAAUUGCAUGACCAGUUUGUUAGGGUUGACAAGUGUGCUUUAUCUAACAAUGGCCUCAGCAGCUCCGAACAGCAGUGGAAUGUCAAAAUGAGCACAUUUCACACACAAAUGUGUGACCAUAAUGGGUAUAAGAAGAUGCAUGUGGUGGAGAGGAGAGGGGGCCGGGGGCCGGAGAGGCUAACAGUUAGCAGUAGGGACUUGGCCCCACUGACCAUUUUUAAUCAGUCCUUCUGUAAACAAUUCAACAUUUUCAUUGUUCUCCAAAAACUAAUAAAGAGAAACAAGCACUUUUCAUUCAUCUUGAAGUAAUUUUCUGUCAGGUUCAAGCCCCUUGUGGCCUACAGCUUGUGCACAGCUAGCUGUGUGAUACAACAACUAUUUCAAUUUAUUUUACAAACCCCAACCAUUCAAAUGUCAGUUAGUGUUCACCAAGCCGGCAUCUGAAAUUGUGCAGUUAACGAGUUUUACAACAUUUCUAUCAAGAGAAACUGUUUAGCAUAACUGACUCUUAAGGAGUUAUUAUACCUCUAAAAAUCCAUUUUAAGGGGCAUUAUUUAAAUAAAAUAGAAAAACGGUUCACUGCCUUUUAAAGGGGCUACAAAAAAAGUCCAUCAGAUCCAGUGCAGUAAUCCUCAGCUUAAAGCACUCUCGAGAGCACUUCUGGGAAUUAUCAGCAUAAUGAAAUGUUUUGUGAAAUGUCCAGAUAGAUUCCUCUACUCAACAAUUUUACGGCACCAUAUUUAUUUUCCACCCAUUUUUUUUAAAGAAGUGAAUUACUUUUCAAGAGGAUGACUCUACACUCUGCAGAUUAACUGAACACAUUAUUACCAAGGUUAUAGUAGAAGGGAGAGCACAGUUUGUAGCAUCGUCAAUGUAAGAAGACGGUAGGAAAAGGAUCAGCCUUUUGUGCUGUCCUCCACUCAAAAUGGGUUAAACCACAAUGAGGCUUAUGCAAAUGUACGUCUCCUUGUACUUCAUUUCCCAUACUCUUAAACAACUCUGUUAUACACUUGCACCUGUAAAAUACUCUAUUGUAAUCAGUUCAGACUCUCUGUAGGUUAAUUAAAUGAACAAACAACAAAAAAAGUAUAAUGAAACUGAACUGAUUAAACUGGCAGAUAUGUGUGGAUAUUGAAAUUAAAAAGGAAUAGUUUUCACAAAUUAACCAUGAUGGCCAAUGACCCAAAGCUACUUUAAUGGCAGCAGUCCAUAAUGGGGGCACAGUGCUACAUUACAGUAAGUUGAUCUUACACAUUAAAUUACC